Molecule: ribosomal RNA, 463 nt
Filed under: uncultured ammonia-oxidizing beta proteobacterium
Lineage: Bacteria; Pseudomonadati; Pseudomonadota; Betaproteobacteria
Description: bacterial SSU rRNA
Rfam family: Bacterial small subunit ribosomal RNA
Source: RNAcentral
AAGCAGGGGAUCGUAAGACCUUGCGCUUAUGGAGCGGCCGAUGCCUGAUUAGCUAGUUGGUGGGGUAAUGGCUUACCAAGGCUACGAUCAGUAGUUGGUCUGAGAGGACGACCAGCCACACUGGGACUGAGACACGGCCCAGACUCCUACGGGAGGCAGCAGUGGGGAAUUUUGGACAAUGGGCGAAAGCCUGAUCCAGCAAUGCCGCGUGAGUGAAGAAGGCCUUCGGGUUGUAAAGCUCUUUCAGUCGAGAAGAAAAGGUUGUGACUAAUAAUCACAAUUUAUGACGGUAUCGACAGAAGAAGCACCGGCUAACUACGUGCCAGCAGCCGCGGUAAUACGUAGGGUGCAAGCGUUAAUCGGAAUUACUGGGCGUAAAGGGUGCGCAGGCGGCUUUGUAAGUCAGAUGUGAAAUCCCCGGGCUUAACCUGGGAAUUGCGUUUGAAACUACAAGGCUUAGAGU